GACGAACGCUGGCGGCGUGCCUAAUACAUGCAAGUAGAACGCUGAAGGAGGAGCUUGCUUCUCUGGAUGAGUUGCGAACGGGUGAGUAACGCGUAGGUAACCUGCCUGGUAGCGGGGGAUAACUAUUGGAAACGAUAGCUAAUACCGCAUAAGAGUGGACGUUGCAUGACAUUUGCUUAAAAGGUGCACUUGCAUCACUACCAGAUGGACCUGCGUUGUAUUAGCUAGUUGGUGGGGUAACGGCUCACCAAGGCGACGAUACAUAGCCGACCUGAGAGGGUGAUCGGCCACACUGGGACUGAGACACGGCCCAGACUCCUACGGGAGGCAGCAGUAGGGAAUCUUCGGCAAUGGACGGAAGUCUGACCGAGCAACGCCGCGUGAGUGAAGAAGGUUUUCGGAUCGUAAAGCUCUGUUGUAAGAGAAGAACGAGUGUGAGAGUGGAAAGUUCACACUGUGACGGUAUCUUACCAGAAAGGGACGGCUAACUACGUGCCAGCAGCCGCGGUAAUACGUAGGUCCCGAGCGUUGUCCGGAUUUAUUGGGCGUAAAGCGAGCGCAGGCGGUUAGAUAAGUCUGAAGUUAAAGGCUGUGGCUUAACCAUAGUAGGCUUUGGAAACUGUUUAACUUGAGUGCAAGAGGGGAGAGUGGAAUUCCAUGUGUAGCGGUGAAAUGCGUAGAUAUAUGGAGGAACGCCGGUGGCGAAAGCGGCUCUCUGGCUUGUAACUGACGCUGAGGCUCGAAAGCGUGGGGAGCAAACAGG
RNAcentral lists this ribosomal RNA (763 nucleotides) under uncultured Streptococcus sp. RNAcentral describes it as "bacterial SSU rRNA". It matches the Rfam family "Bacterial small subunit ribosomal RNA", at positions 28 to 776 of the family's 1533-position model. Lineage: Bacteria; Bacillati; Bacillota; Bacilli; Lactobacillales; Streptococcaceae. The record is from RNAcentral.